This is a non-coding RNA of Cricetulus griseus (Chinese hamster), 35 nucleotides long. Lineage: Eukaryota; Metazoa; Chordata; Mammalia; Rodentia; Cricetidae. The record is from Rfam.
UGGUCUCCUGCUUCAACAGGGCUUGAAUGGAACUG